UUCCCCAACAAUAAUAAUCACCACAAGAACAAGAAACUCAUCAGCACAAAAGAGAAGACCAAAAUAGGUAAGUCUCAAAACUCAAUAGCAAUGCUAGGGAAAAAUCUAUAUAAAACCCGAUAAACCACAAUCUGGAUCUUAACAAAAAUGUCUCUUAUGGAGAAUUUUUUCCCGUCAAAGUAUAUCUCAUUCCGACACUUCCAAAGCAUGUAUACUGUGGUGACAAAAGCAAGUUUGAAGGCAUUAGCCUUCACUCUAGUCCCCCGCUGCUCAUGGUGCAAAAUCCUCACUGAACGUGGCAGAGUAGACAUCUCCCUCGUAAUGCCAAGCUACUGCCUCACUCUCAUCCAGACCCCUGAGGAUACCGUGCAUGAGAAAAAGAGGUGAUUUACAGACUCUGUGGUAACUUGGCAUAGUUUGCAGCGUCGAUCAAUCUCCAGGAAAUCAAGUCUGUCCAUGGUCGGUAGUCUAUUACAAAAAGCAAGCCAUGCAAUAAAGGUAAACUUCGGCGGGAUGUAAUACUUCCAAAUCAGCUGCAUCCAUGGGAGCUUCCCCCCCUUGAUUCGGAGUAGAUCGUAGACUUUCCCAGAGCAAAGCUUUCCAUUCACCAUAAACCCUUGGAGGACUUCAAUAACACGAACCACACUUCCGCACUUGUCAAUCAAACAAUCCCGAAUUUGGGCCAGCUUCUUCAGAAGUUGAGAAUCUCUUUUAUGAGGCUGAUAGU
RNAcentral lists this long non-coding RNA (727 nucleotides) under Jatropha curcas. RNAcentral describes it as "long non-coding RNA (JCUR_LNC001310)". The record is from RNAcentral. Lineage: Eukaryota; Viridiplantae; Streptophyta; Magnoliopsida; Malpighiales; Euphorbiaceae.